GGGCCCGCACAAGCGGUGGAGCAUGUGGUUUAAUUCGACGAUACGCGAAAAACCUUACCAGCUCUUGACAUGGGGAUUUUGGACCUUGGAGACAAGGUUCUUCGGUUCGGCCGGGUCCCACACAGGUGCUGCAUGGCUGUCGUCAGCUCGUGUCGUGAGAUGUUGGGUUAAGUCCCGCAACGAGCGCAACCCUUGUCCCUAGUUGCUAACAGGUUAUGCUGAGAACUUUAGGGAGACUGCCGGUGACAAACUGGAGGAAGGAAAGGAUGAUGUCAAGUCAUCAUGGCCCUUAUGGGCUGGGCUACACACGUGCUACAAUGGUGGUUACAAAAAGACGCAAUAGGGCGACCUGGAGCAAAUCUAUAAAAGCCAUCUCAGUUCGGAUUGUUCUCUGCAACUCGAGAGCAUGAAGUUGGAAUCGCUAGUAAUCG
RNAcentral lists this ribosomal RNA (431 nucleotides) under uncultured bacterium. RNAcentral's name for it is "bacterial SSU rRNA". It matches the Rfam family "Bacterial small subunit ribosomal RNA", at positions 917 to 1344 of the family's 1533-position model. The record is from RNAcentral.